This 503-nucleotide ribosomal RNA is filed under the name uncultured bacterium. Its description in RNAcentral is "partial 16S ribosomal RNA". It matches the Rfam family "Bacterial small subunit ribosomal RNA", at positions 30 to 523 of the family's 1533-position model. The record is from RNAcentral.
AUUGAACGCUGGCGGCAGGCUUAACACAUGCAAGUCGAGCGGGGUGAUGGUGCUUGCACUAUCACUUAGCGGCGGACGGGUGAGUAAUGCUUAGGAAUCUGCCUAUUAGUGGGGGACAACAUCUCGAAAGGGAUGCUAAUACCGCAUACGUCCUACGGGGGAAAGCAGGGGAUCACUUGUGACCUUGCGCUAAUAGAUGAGCCUAAGUCGGAUUAGCUAGUUGGUGGGGUAAAGGCCUACCAAGGCGACGAUCUGUAGCGGGUCUGAGAGGAUGAUCCGCCACACUGGGACUGAGACACGGCCCAGACUCCUACGGGAGGCAGCAGUGGGGAAUAUUGGACAAUGGGGGGAACCCUGAUCCAGCCAUGCCGCGUGUGAGAAGAAGGCCUUAUGGUUGUAAAGCACUUUAAGCGAGGAGGAGGCUCUUUUGGUUAAUACCCAGAAUGAGUGGACGUUACUCGCAGAAUAAGCACCGGCUAACUCUGUGCCAGCAGCCGCCGUAA